This 440-nucleotide ribosomal RNA is filed under the name uncultured bacterium. Its description in RNAcentral is "partial 16S ribosomal RNA". It matches the Rfam family "Bacterial small subunit ribosomal RNA", at positions 338 to 795 of the family's 1533-position model. The record is from RNAcentral.
CCUACGGGCGGCAGCAGUGGGGAAUAUUGCACAAUGGGGGAAACCCUGAUGCAGCGACGCCGCGUGAGUGAAGAAGUAUUUCGGUAUGUAAAGCUCUAUCAGCAGGGAAGAAAAUGACGGUACCUGAUUAAGAAGCCCCGGCUAACUACAUGCCAGCAGCCGCGGGAAUACGUAGGGGGCAAGCGUUAUCCGGAUUUACUGGGUGUAAAGGGAGCGUAGACGGCAGCACAAGUCUGGAGUGAAAUGCCGGGGCUUAACCCCGGAACUGCUUUGGAAACUGUGCAGCUAGAGUGCAGGAGAGGUAAGUGGAAUUCCUAGUGUAGCGGUGAAAUGCGUAGAUAUUAGGAGGAACACCAGUGGCGAAGGCGGCUUACUGGACUGUAACUGACGUUGAGGCUCGAAAGCGUGGGGAGCAAACAGGAUUAGAUACCCCAGUAGUC